Molecule: ribosomal RNA, 659 nt
Filed under: Arthrobacter sp. HPC 1207
Lineage: Bacteria; Bacillati; Actinomycetota; Actinomycetes; Micrococcales; Micrococcaceae
Description: bacterial SSU rRNA
Rfam family: Bacterial small subunit ribosomal RNA
Source: RNAcentral
UGAUUCAACGGGGUACCCGUAAAGGUUUGCUUGCUGGGUGGAUUAUUUGGCGAACGGGUGAGUAACACGUGAGUAACCUGCCCCUGACUCUGGGAUAAGCCCGGGAAACUGGGUCUAAUACCGGAUAUGACUUUUGACCGCAUGGUUGAGGGUGGAAAGAUUUAUCGGUUGGGGAUGGACUCGCGGCCUAUCAGCUUGUUGGUGAGGUAAUGGCUCACCAAGGCGACGACGGGUAGCCGGCCUGAGAGGGUGACCGGCCACACUGGGACUGAGACACGGCCCAGACUCCUACGGGAGGCAGCAGUGGGGAAUAUUGCACAAUGGGCGCAAGCCUGAUGCAGCGACGCCGCGUGAGGGAUGACGGCCUUCGGGUUGUAAACCUCUUUCAGUAGGGAAGAAGCGAAAGUGACGGUACCUGCAGAAGAAGCGCCGGCUAACUACGUGCCAGCAGCCGCGGUAAUACGUAGGGCGCAAGCGUUAUCCGGAUUUAUUGGGCGUAAAGAGCUCGUAGGCGGUUUGUCGCGUCUAUCGUGAAAGUCCGAGGCUCAACCUCGGAUCUGCGGUGGGUACGGGCAGACUAAUGAUGUAGGGAGACUGGAAUUCCUGGUGUGCGGUGAAAUGCCCAAUAUCAGAGGAACCCAUGGCAAAGCAGUCUCUGG